Molecule: ribosomal RNA, 107 nt
Filed under: Threticus lucifugus
Lineage: Eukaryota; Metazoa; Arthropoda; Insecta; Diptera; Psychodidae
Also listed under: 1 other name
Description: partial 16S ribosomal RNA
Source: RNAcentral
UCAAACCGGCGUGAGCCAGGUUGGUUUCUAUCCUUAAUUAAUUAAAAUAUUUUAGUACGAAAGGAUUAAAUAUUUAAAAAAUUUUUUUGUUAAAGAAUAAAAUUAAU